Molecule: long non-coding RNA, 2163 nt
Filed under: Apteryx haastii (Great spotted kiwi)
Lineage: Eukaryota; Metazoa; Chordata; Aves; Apterygiformes; Apterygidae
Description: lncRNA (ENSAHAG00000000509.1)
Source: RNAcentral
AUGGACUUUAAACUAGGAAAGAUGGGGGAAGGGGAGAGUUAUAGUGCCAGGGUAGCUGGCAAAAGACUGCUCAAGUCGGGAUGCCUCCAGCAGCUGAAUGCAGCCAGGGAAGUGCGCAUGGGAUGUGGCUAUGGAGGAUCCUCCUGUAUCCCUCCUGGGAAACCUGCAUGCUUGAUCACCUCCCUGAAAUGCCUGUACACCAAUGCAUGCAGCAUGGGGAAUAAACAGGAAGAACAAGAGAUCUGUGUGCAGUCGCAGGGCCAUGAUCUCAUUGCAGUUACAGAGACAUGGUGGGAUAGCUCGYAUGACUGGAGUGCUGUCAUGGAUGGCUAYGUGCUUUUUAGGAAAGACAGGCCAGGAAAGCGAGGUGGUGGAGUUGCUCUUUAUGUGAGAGAGCAACUGGAAUGUAUUGAACUGUGCCUAGGAGUGGAUGAAGAGCGAGCUGAGAGCUUAUGGGUAAGGAUUAAAGGGCAGGCUAGCAUGGGUGACACUGUUGUGGGUGUUUACUACAGGCCACCUGAUCAGGAAGAGGAAGUUGAUGAGGCCUUCUACAGACAGCUGGAAGUAGCCUUACGAUCCCAGGCCCUGGUUCUCAUGGGGGACUUCAACCACCCUGAUAUCUGCUGGAAAGACAACACAGCUAGGCACAAACAGUCCCGGAGGUUCCUGCAGAGCAUUGGUGACAACUUCUUGACACAGGUGGUGGAGGAGCCAACAAGGAGAGGUGCGCUGCUGGACCUCGUACUAACAAACAAAGAAGGACUGGUUGAAGCUGUGAAGGUCAGGGGCAGCCUUGGCUGCAGUGACCAUGAGAUGGUGGAGUUCAGGAUCCUGCGAGGAGGAGGCAGGGCACUAAGUAGGAUUGCAACCCUGGACUUCAGGAGAGCAAACUUUGGCCUCUUCAGGGACCUACUUGGAGGAAUCCCAUGGGUUAGGGCCCUAGAAGGAAGGGGUGUCCAAGAGAGCUGGUUAAUAUUCAAACAUCACCUCCUCCAGGCUCAAGAGCGGUGCAUCCCUAUGAGUAGGAAGUCAAGCAAAGGAGGUGGGAGACCUGCAUGGAUGAGCAAGGAGCUCCUGGCAAAACUCAACCAGAAGAAGGAAGUAUACAGAAAGUGGAAAGGGGGACAGGCCACUUGGGAGGAUUAUAGGAACAUUGUCAGAGUAUGCAGGGAUGCAAUGAGGAAGGCUAAGGCCCGUUUGGAAUUAAAUCUGGCUAGAGAUGUCAAGGACAGCAAGAAGGGCUUCUUCAAAUACAUCAGCAGCAAGAGGAAGAUUAGGGAAAAUGUGGGCCCUUUGCUGAAUGGGGUGGGUGCCCUGGUGACGAAGGAUACAGAGAAGGCAGAGUUACUCAAUGCCUUCUUUGCUUCAGUCUUUACUGCUCAGGCCAGCCCUCAGGAACCCCAGAUCCUGGAGGCAAGAGAGAAAGUCUGGAGGAAGGAAGACUUUCUCUUGGUGGAGGAGGAGUGGGUUAGAGAUCAUUUAAGCAAACUUGACACUCACAAAUCCAUGGGCCCUGAUGGGAUGCACCCACGAGUGCUGAGGGAGCUGGCGGAUGUCAUUGCUAAGCCACUCUCCAUCAUCUUUGAAAGGUCAUGGAGAACAGGAGAGGUGCCUGAGGACUGGAAGAAAGCCAAUGUCACCCCAGUCUUCAAAAAGGGCAAGAAGGAGGACCCAGGAAACUACAGGCCAGUCAGCCUCACCUGCAUCCCUGGAAAGGUGAUGGAGCAGCUCAUCCUGGAGGCCAUCUCCAAGCAUGUGGAGGAAAAGAAGGUGAUCAGGAGUAGUCAGCAUGGCUUCACCAAGGGGAAAUCAUGCCUAACCAAUCUGAUAGCCUUCUMUGAUGGAAUGACUGGCUGGGUGGAUGAGGGGAGAGCAGUGGAUGUUGUCUACCUUGACUUCAGCAAGGCUUUUGACACUGUCUCCCAUAACAUCCUUGGUGGACACCAAGUUAAGCAUGAGGCAGCAAUGUGCCCUUGUGGCCAAGAAGGCCAAUGGUAUCCUGGGCUGCAUCAGGAAGAGUGUUGCCAGCAGGUCAAGGGAGGUGAUUCUCCCCCUCUACUCAGCCCUGGUGAGGCCACCCCUGGAGUACUGUGUCCAGUUCUGGGCUCCCCAGUACAAGAGGGAUGUGGCACUACUGGAGCAAGUCCAGCGAAGGGCUUCUAA